GUCCUGGGGGUGCAAACGAUUAACAUGCUCAGCUAAAAACUGAUAGGUUGGUGGUUCGAGUCCACCCAGAGGCA
Molecule: transfer RNA, 74 nt
Filed under: Loxodonta africana (African savanna elephant)
Lineage: Eukaryota; Metazoa; Chordata; Mammalia; Proboscidea; Elephantidae
Rfam family: tRNA
About the family: Transfer RNA (tRNA) molecules are approximately 80 nucleotides in length. Their secondary structure includes four short double-helical elements and three loops (D, anti-codon, and T loops).
Source: Rfam by way of RNAcentral